UAUUCCAAAAAUAAACACAUAUUUUAUAUGUAGAAAGAUACAAAACUGGGCAGCAUCAAUUCCCAUUAUCGCCAUCGCCAUUAAGUUAUAGUUGUUUCGGAUAACUACCACCAUCCAUCCACUGCCACUCGACAGUAUUCGCUAUCCGAUUCAAAGAAAGUGCUCCCCCCUUUUUAUGUCGAUCAGUUUUGCUGUUUUACUUUUAAUAGAAAUUGUUUCGCUUCUGUGUGAUCAAAUCGUUUCGGCUAUAUACAAAAUAGACUCUAAAGCUGUAUGAAAACAAAUACAUAGACAUUUACAAGCUAUGUAUAUAGACGACAGAGACGGCCGUGAUUGCACUCAUUGGGCUCGUUCUCUUCUUCGGUGCCACCCCCACGGUCUACGUGAGUCUGGCCCAUGCAGUGCGAAUUGCGUGGAUUUUGGAUAAAGACCACCCAAGCACGAUCUGUCCGAAUUUUACAGCUCUCUCUUUUCAGAAAUUUGCAUAGCUUAAGGGCUUUCAGAGAGAGCAAGAGAGCGAAAGAGGGAGAGCAAGAGAGCGAGAGAGAGAGAGAGAAAGAAAGACUAAUGGACUAAUAGCGAUCAAAAUGAGAGAGAGAAGGAGAGCGCAGCGGUCGAAGUCGUGUUCAUAUUUUUGACAAAAUUUUCUACCAAAAACAACCAAUAAAAUACAUAAUUUUGUUUCCUGGCA
This is a long non-coding RNA of Drosophila pseudoobscura, 691 nucleotides long. RefSeq lists it as uncharacterized. NCBI's taxonomy places the organism in Eukaryota, Metazoa, Arthropoda, Insecta, Diptera, Drosophilidae. The transcript has 2 exons. The record is from RefSeq and is a predicted model, not a curated record.